Molecule: ribosomal RNA, 433 nt
Filed under: uncultured bacterium
Lineage: Bacteria
Description: partial 16S ribosomal RNA
Rfam family: Bacterial small subunit ribosomal RNA
Source: RNAcentral
AACGAACGCUGGCGGCAUGCCUAACACAUGCGAGUCGAACGAGACCUUCGGGUCUAGUGGCGCACGGGUGCGUAACGCGUGGGAACCUGCCCUUAGGUUCGGAAUAACUCCCCGAAAGGGGUGCUAAUACCGGAUAAUGUCUUCGGACCAAAGAUUUAUCGCCUUUGGAUAGGCCCGCGUUGGAUUAGCUAGUUGGUAGGGUAAAAGCCUACCAAGGCGACGAUCCAUAGCUGGUCUGAGAGGAUGAUCAGCCACACUGGGACUGAGACACGGCCCAGACUCCUACGGGAGGCAGCAGUGGGGAAUAUUGGACAAUGGGCGAAAGCCUGAUCCAGCAAUGCCGCGUGAGUGAUGAAGGCCUUAGGGUUGUAAAGCUCUUUUACCCGGGAUGAUAAUGACAGUACCGGGAGAAUAAGCGCCGGCUAACUCCGUG